AGCUCCAAUAGCGUAUAUUAAAGUUGUUGCAGUUAAAAGGCUCGUAGUUGGAUUUGUAGUUGAUUCUAGCGACCCAUCACCUAGUGUUGGUGUCUGCUGGUUUCGCCAUCCUUAAAGAGAUCUUUUGUGGCAUUAGGUUGUCGUGAAAGUUGACCUUUAUCGUUUACUGUGAGAAAAUUAGAGUGUUCAAAGCAGGCUUAUGCCUUUAUUGAAUAUGUUAGCAUGGAAUAAUAAGAUAGGACCUUGGUACUAUUUUGUUGGUUUGCGCACCGAGGUAAUGAUUAAUAGGGACAGUUGGGGGUAUUCGUAUUCCAUUGUCAGAGGUGAAAUUCUUGGAUUUCUGGAAGACGAACUACUGCGAAAGCAUUUACCAAGGAUGUUU
RNAcentral lists this ribosomal RNA (382 nucleotides) under uncultured eukaryote. RNAcentral describes it as "SSU rRNA". It matches the Rfam family "Eukaryotic small subunit ribosomal RNA", at positions 587 to 969 of the family's 1831-position model. The record is from RNAcentral.